This 87-nucleotide transfer RNA is filed under the name Martinezella lusitana. RNAcentral describes it as "Rhizobium lusitanum tRNA-Ser". It matches the Rfam family "tRNA". Rfam says of the family: Transfer RNA (tRNA) molecules are approximately 80 nucleotides in length. The record is from RNAcentral. Lineage: Bacteria; Pseudomonadati; Pseudomonadota; Alphaproteobacteria; Hyphomicrobiales; Rhizobiaceae.
GGUAUCGUGGCAGAGUGGUAAUGCACCAGUUUGCUAAACUGGCGAAGCGGAAACGCUGCGAAGGUUCGAUCCCUUCCGAUACCGCCA